AGAAUCAACGCUGGCGGCGUGCCUAACACAUGCAAGUCGCACGAGAAAGGGACUUCGGUCCUGAGUAAAGUGGCGCACGGGUGAGUAACACGUGAAUCAUCUACCUCCGAGUGGGGAAUAACCUAGAGAAAUCUGGGCUAAUACCGCAUAACACUUACGAGUCAAAGCAGCAAUGCGCUUGGAGAGGAGUUCGCGGCAGAUUAGUUAGUUGGCGGGGUAAUGGCCCACCAAGACGAUGAUCU
RNAcentral lists this ribosomal RNA (242 nucleotides) under uncultured bacterium. Its description in RNAcentral is "partial small subunit ribosomal RNA". It matches the Rfam family "Bacterial small subunit ribosomal RNA", at positions 26 to 282 of the family's 1533-position model. The record is from RNAcentral.